Molecule: long non-coding RNA, 473 nt
Organism: Colias croceus (clouded yellow)
Lineage: Eukaryota; Metazoa; Arthropoda; Insecta; Lepidoptera; Pieridae
Exons: 2
Source: RefSeq, a predicted model, not a curated record
GGUUUACAUGUAGCAGGCGUGUUUUGUUUUGCUGCCGUGCAGAAAUUUUUUAAGUAACAUACAUGCAUCAGCAGAGUCAGGAGGUUCUGUUCAAGACUUCUUUCCAUGGAUGAAAGUGGAGAAAGUUGAAUUAAACGCUUGAUGUAUGGGCUCUGAACACAUUAUGAUGUGCUGGUCCAGAUGGAUCUGGAUUUGUGACUUUUGCAAGUAAUUACGUAACUUCUUUCAUUUAUCACAAUAUGUUAUAUUCAUUUAAUUGAUCUCAAAGAUAUUCAUUACAUUUUUGUACUUGUUAUGUUGAUUUUUGCUUAUAUUCCAUAAAUGGGUACCUAUUCCAUAUUUGGUUACUCUUUUGUGAUUUUGUUUUUUGUGUUAUAUUUUAAUUUGAUUACUGAUAUAUUUGGUUAAAGGCCGUUAAUUACUACUUAUAGAUGUAUGACUGAUCAGUAAAAACAAUAAACUGAUUUAAUUUA